This 253-nucleotide ribosomal RNA is filed under the name uncultured bacterium. Its description in RNAcentral is "partial 16S ribosomal RNA". It matches the Rfam family "Bacterial small subunit ribosomal RNA", at positions 524 to 776 of the family's 1533-position model. The record is from RNAcentral.
UACGAAGGGGGCUAGCGUUGCUCGGAAUUAUUGGGCGUAAAGCGCACGUAGGCGGUCCUGUAAGUCGGGUGUGAAAGCCCCAGGCUUAACCUGGGAAGUGCACUCGAAACUGUAGGGCUUGAGUAUGGAAGAGGGUCUCGGAAUUCCCGGUGUAGAGGUGAAAUUCGUAGAUAUCGGGAGGAACACCAGUGGCGAAGGCGGAGACCUGGGCCAAUACUGACGCUGAGGUGCGAAAGCGUGGGGAGCAAACAGG